Molecule: ribosomal RNA, 450 nt
Filed under: uncultured bacterium
Lineage: Bacteria
Description: bacterial SSU rRNA
Rfam family: Bacterial small subunit ribosomal RNA
Source: RNAcentral
AACGAACGCUGGCGGCAUGCCUAACACAUGCAAGUCGAACGAACUCUUCGGAGUUAGUGGCGCACGGGUGCGUAACGCGUGGGAAUCUGCCCUUGGGUACGGAAUAACUCAGAGAAAUUUGUGCUAAUACCGUAUAAUGACUUCGGUCCAAAGAUUUAUCGCCCAAGGAUGAGCCCGCGUAAGAUUAGCUAGUUGGUGGGGUAAAGGCCUACCAAGGCGACGAUCCAUAGCUGGUCUGAGAGGAUGAUCAGCCACAUUGGGACUGAGACACGGCCCAAACUCCUACGGGAGGCAGCAGUGGGGAAUAUUGGACAAUGGGCGCAAGCCUGAUCCAGCCAUGCCGCGUGAGUGAUGAAGGCCCUAGAGUUGUAAAGCUCUUUCACCGGAGAAGAUAAUGACGGUAUCCGGAGAAGAAGCCCCGGCUAACUUCGUGCCAGCAGCCGCGGUAAU